RNAcentral lists this ribosomal RNA (811 nucleotides) under marine metagenome. RNAcentral's name for it is "bacterial SSU rRNA". It matches the Rfam family "Bacterial small subunit ribosomal RNA", at positions 8 to 817 of the family's 1533-position model. The record is from RNAcentral.
AGAGUUUGAUCCUGGCUCAGGACGAACGCUGGCGGCGGGCCUAACACAUGCAAGUCUAAGGAGAAUUUCGGAGCAAUCUGAAAGGACACUGGCGCACGGGUGAGUAACGCGUAGGUAACCUACCUUCUGCUGGGGGAUAACAUCGGGAAACCGGUGCUAAUACCGCAUAAUGCAGCGGUCACGCAUGUGGCAGUUGUUAAAGAAUUUCGGCAGAAGAUGGGCCUGCGUGUCAUUAGUUAGUUGGUAAGGUAACGGCUUACCAAGACGAUGAUGACUAGGGGGUCUGAGAGGAUGAUCCCCCACACUGGAACUGAGACACGGUCCAGACUCCUACGGGAGGCAGCAGUGAGGAAUCUUGCGCAAUGGGGGAAACCCUGACGCAGCCACGCCGCGUGCCAGAUGAAGGCCCUACGGGUCGUAAAUGGCUUUUGGUCGGGAAGAUAAGCCGGGUUUCGACCUGGUGUGACGGUACCGACUGAAUAAGCACCGGCUAACUCCGUGCCAGCAGCCGCGGUAAUACGGAGGGUGCAAGCGUUGUCCGGAAUCAUUGGGUGUAAAGGGUGCGUAGGCGGAUGCCUAAGUCUGGGGUGAAAUCUUGCAGCUUAACUGUAAAAUUGCCUUGGAUACUGGGUGUCUUGAGUACAGAAGAGGAUGGUGGAAUUCGUAGUGUAGCGGUGAAAUGCAUAGAUAUUACGAAGAACACCGGUGGCGAAAGCGGCCAUCUGGUCUGUUACUGACGCUGAGGCACGAAAGCGUGGGGAGCGAACAGGAUUAGAUACCCUGGUAGUCCACGCCGUAAACGAUGUGUGCU